CCUACGGGAGGCAGCAGUGAGGAAUAUUGGUCAAUGGGCGCGAGCCUGAACCAGCCAAGUAGCGUGAAGGAUGACUGCCCUACGGGUUGUAAACUUCUUUUAUAAAGGAAUAAAGUGCGGUACGUGUGUCUUUUUGCCUGUACUUUAUGAAUCAGGAACGGCUAAUUCCGUGCCAGCGGCCGCGGUAAUACGGGGGUUCCGAGGGUUAUCCGGUUUUAUUGGGUGUAACGGGAGCGUAGAUGGGUUGUUAGUAGGUUGUGAAAGUUUGCGGCUCAACCGUAGAAUUGCAAUGGAUAUUGGCGGGCUUGAGUACAGUUGAGGUAGGCGGAAUUCGUAGUGUAGCGGUGAAAUGCUUAGAUAUCACGAAGAACUCCGAUGGCGAAGGCAGCCUACUAAACUGCCACUGACAUUGAUGCUCGAAAGUGUGGGUAUCAAACAGGAUUAGAUACCCUAGUAGUC
RNAcentral lists this ribosomal RNA (459 nucleotides) under uncultured bacterium. Its description in RNAcentral is "partial 16S ribosomal RNA". It matches the Rfam family "Bacterial small subunit ribosomal RNA", at positions 338 to 795 of the family's 1533-position model. The record is from RNAcentral.